RNAcentral lists this ribosomal RNA (460 nucleotides) under uncultured bacterium. RNAcentral describes it as "partial 16S ribosomal RNA". It matches the Rfam family "Bacterial small subunit ribosomal RNA", at positions 338 to 795 of the family's 1533-position model. The record is from RNAcentral.
CCUACGGGUGGCAGCAGUGAGGAAUAUUGGUCAAUGGGCUUACGCCUGAACCAGCCAAGUCGCGUGAGGGAAGACUGCCCUAUGGGUUGUAAACCUCUUUUGUAAGGGAGCAAUUGGCGCUACGUGUAGCGUUAUCGAGAGUACCUGAAGAAAAAGCCUCGGCUAACUCCGUGCCAGCAGCCGCGGUAAUACGGAGGAUGCGAGCGUUAUCCGGAUUUAUUGGGUUUAAAGGGUGCGUAGGCGGAAUGCCAAGUCAGCGGUAAAAUCGCGGGGCUCAACCUCGCUCCGCCGUUGAAACUGGCGGUCUUGAGUGGGCGAGAAGUAUGCGGAAUGCGUGGUGUAGCGGUGAAAUGCAUAGAUAUCACGCAGAACUCCGAUUGCGAAGGCAGCAUACCGGCGCCCAACUGACGCUGAAGCACGAAAGCGUGGGUAUCGAACAGGAUUAGAUACCCUUGUAGUC